RNAcentral lists this ribosomal RNA (305 nucleotides) under uncultured bacterium. RNAcentral's name for it is "bacterial SSU rRNA". It matches the Rfam family "Bacterial small subunit ribosomal RNA", at positions 336 to 641 of the family's 1533-position model. The record is from RNAcentral.
UUCCUACGGGGGGCAGCAGUGGGGAAUAUUGCACAAUGGGGGAAACCCUGAUGCAGCGACGCCGCGUGAGUGAAGAAGUAUUUCGGUAUGUAAAGCUCUAUCAGCAGGGAAGAAAGGUGCCCCUUGGGCGCCUGGACGGUACCUGACUAAGAAGCCCCGGCUAACUACGUGCCAGCAGCCGCGGUAAUACGUAGGGGGCAAGCGUUAUCCGGAUUUACUGGGUGUAAAGGGAGCGUAGACGGCAGAGCAAGUCCGGAGUGAAAGCCCGGGGCCCAACCCCGGGACUGCUCUGGAAACUGUUAAGC